This 508-nucleotide ribosomal RNA is filed under the name uncultured bacterium. RNAcentral describes it as "partial 16S ribosomal RNA". It matches the Rfam family "Bacterial small subunit ribosomal RNA", at positions 28 to 523 of the family's 1533-position model. The record is from RNAcentral.
GAUGAACGCUAGCUACAGGCUUAACACAUGCAAGUCGAGGGGAAACGACAUCGAAAGCUUGCUUUUGAUGGGCGUCGACCGGCGCACGGGUGAGUAACGCGUAUCCAACCUGCCCACCACUUGGGGAUAACCUUGCGAAAGUAAGACUAAUACCCAAUGACGUCUCUAGAAGACAUCUGAAAGAGAUUAAAGAUUUAUCGGUGAUGGAUGGGGAUGGGUCUGAUUAGCUUGUUGGCGGGGUAACGGCCCACCAAGGCGACGAUCAGUAGGGGUUCUGAGAUGAAGGUCCCCCACAUUGGAACUGGGACACGGUCCAAACUCCUACGGGAGGCAGCAGUGAGGAAUAUUGGUCAAUGGGCGAGAGCCUGAACCAGCCAAGUAGCGUGCAGGAUGACGGCCCUAUGGGUUGUAAACUGCUUUUAUAAGGGAAUAAAGUGAGUCUCGUGAGACUUUUUGCAUGUACCUUAUGAAUAAGGACCGGCUAAUUCCGUGCCAGCCGCCGCCGUAA